GAGGGUAUCGCACAGUGGUAGAGUGCCUGCUUAGCAUGCACAAGGUCCUGGGUUCAAUCCCCGGUACCUCCC
Molecule: transfer RNA, 72 nt
Filed under: Camelus bactrianus (Bactrian camel)
Lineage: Eukaryota; Metazoa; Chordata; Mammalia; Artiodactyla; Camelidae
Also listed under: 2 other names
Rfam family: tRNA
About the family: Transfer RNA (tRNA) molecules are approximately 80 nucleotides in length.
Source: Rfam by way of RNAcentral